CUAUUUUGGCAUUAUUGGUUUUAUCUCUCAUAAUUGAUUUUAUUUGUAUCUUAACAAUUUUGAUUUCGAUAAUAAUUGAUUGUUCUCUGGUGUUGUCAAGAUGGUUUGUAUCUUAAUCAUUGAAAUCUGUUUAAAACGUUGUUUUAAUUUUGAAUUUCGUUUUGAAAAUAGAUGUGUUACUUAAUGCCUUGAACUCGAUGAGAUCACCUCCUUUAGUUUUCGUAUUCUACUGCUUGUAACAAAAAUGAAGAGUCCUUAGAUUUUUUUUCUAACUAAUUCCCUAUCUUUAUUUUUGUCUUGUCCUACCUAUUACACCCAUCAUGUGCCUUCCCUCUCGAAUUGAAUAUUCCUUCUUCUAAUUUAUUUUCCUAGACCCACUAUGAUCAAAGAUAAUGGGCUGCGACUUCUCUUUUCUUAGAGUAAAGAUAGAAAUAAAAAUAGAUUUACACCAAAUUGUCUCUCCUGAUGGUGCAUAGGUUCACGUUAUUUUGUUAAUCGUAAAAGAAAAUACAGAUUAAUCUACCUCCUUUUCCCAAUACUAAAACUGUCCCUUCUCUGUUUCGAAUAAGUCCUUUGUAUCGAUACUGCAUUUGAUACUGCGUCUGAUGCAUGCCAUUAACAUCUGCAUUUUGUAUUGGGACUUCUUCUUUCUUUUUUAACGUAAAAUGUUUUGAGGCCUAAUAGGAAUUUUUUUACCAACCAUCUGUUUGAAAAGAAAUGUUAUGCUCAACUUUUUACAUAUGAACAUUUUGUAUUUUACCUAUUAGUUUAAUCUUCUAGGACUCUCAUUUAGAAAAGGGUACUAUUGUAUCAAAAUGAAAUUAAAAUAAAAUCACUCUUUGUUCCUGCCUCUACCAUUUUGUCUAUAUCCUAUAUUCAUUUCCUUUUGAGUUCUUUUUAAUGUCUUCUAACUCUCGUCUCCUAUUAAAUUAACUUGAUGACUAUUCACACAAUUUCACUUGACUUUGUUGUGAUUUUUCAAUAGCCUAGCCAUCCACUUCCUCGGUAUUAUUUAACUAGCAGCAAAUUUCCAAUUAGUUUCUCGUAGGGGUGCACAUACCCUAUCCAUACCCGCCAACCCUAUUCUACCCGCCAGUUUUUUAACCGUAUCCUAUCCUAUCCACUAUUUGGCGGGUAGAGUGGCGGGUAAAGAUUUUCUUAACCGCCAGUAAACGGGUAGGGUGGCGGGUAAAGCUCGAAAUUAUCCUACUCUACCAGCAUACCCGCCUAUUUAUACUAUUGAUCUCUGCCGUUGGUCGUUUAAUCUCUGCCGUUGAUAUUUAUACUAUUGAUCUCUGCCGUUGGUUUUCGUUUAAUCUCUGCCGUUGGUUUUCGUUUUCCUCAACCUACAAAGUAAAAACUAAAAACUGAAUUCAUUUCUCAAACCAAAAGACUCUCUAUGCAGAGAAACUCCCAGAACGCAGAAGCAUAAUCAAAUCAAAAUCAAAUCUGUUAACAGAUCUCGUUUAGGACCCUUUAAUCGGUUGAUUCAAGGAUACGAGGAAUCUGAGUUUGCAAAGCUAAAGGAUUUAGUGAGUGGUUCUUCCUCCUAAUUUAAAAUCCAAACUAAUUUUCAAAGAGGGGUCAAAUUGGAAAUCUUGCACAGAUAGAGCAAGAAGAUAGAGAGAAUGGGUAUGCUUCUAACAAUCCAAUCCCAGUAUCAGGUUUAGGGAGUAGUACGAAUUCUCAAACAACCAAAAGAACAACAACAACUACUAAUAAGAAGCUUAAAAAAGAAACCCCACCUUCAGUUGGAGCACCUGUCAAGGUGAAGAAAGAAAAAAUCGGAGAAAGAAUUGCAGCAUUGCAACAACUAGUCUCACCAUUUGGAAAGUAAAAGAUAAUACGAGGAAUCUGAGUUUGCAAAGCUAAUGAAGGGUUUAGUGAGUGGUUCUUCCUCCUAAUUUGAAAUCCAAACUAAUUUUCAGUUAAGAUCUAGGAUACCAACACUGCUGCUCAAUUUCAGGUGAUUCAAUGUCCCCAGUUGUUAAAAAGAUUUAAUUGGUGAUCUUAGUACUUAUUCCAUCAUCGUAGAUGAUGAUUGAAGA
Long non-coding RNA from Papaver somniferum (opium poppy), 2048 nucleotides. RefSeq lists it as uncharacterized. Lineage: Eukaryota; Viridiplantae; Streptophyta; Magnoliopsida; Ranunculales; Papaveraceae. The record is from RefSeq and is a predicted model, not a curated record. The transcript is spliced from 7 exons.